Ochotona curzoniae (black-lipped pika) is the source of this 103-nucleotide small nuclear RNA. Lineage: Eukaryota; Metazoa; Chordata; Mammalia; Lagomorpha; Ochotonidae. The record is from RefSeq and is a predicted model, not a curated record.
UUGCAAUAAAAAUAAAUCUACUAAAAUUGGAAUAAUACAGAGAAGAUUAGCAUGGUCUCUACGCAAGGAUGACACGCAAAUUUGUGCAGCAUUGCAUAUUUUU